AGCCUGGGGCCACCAGAGCCAGCCUGGGGCCACCAGAGCCAGCCUGGGGCCACCAGAGCCAGGGAGCCGGGAUGUGCCAAGGCAGAGAAACCAUCUCGUGCUCCAGGGAACAAACCCAGCAGGAUCUGGGCUCUGGGAACGGGCACCACGGUACCCAUGUGGCAAAGCCACCCCAGAAAAGUCAUCUUGGAAAAGCCACCGUGGCACAGUCAUCCUGGCAAGGCCACCCUAAAAAAGCCGUCCCAAAAAAGCCGCCCCGGCAAAGCCACUGCGGCAAAUCCAAUCUGGCAAAGCCACCCCAGCAAUUCCGCCCCAGCAAAGCCACCCCAAAAAAAGUCAUCCCAAAAAAAGCCUCCUCAGAAAAGCCACUGCGGCAAAGCCACCCCGGCAAAGCCGCCAUGGGGAAGCCACCCCAGGAAAAGCCACCCUGGCAACCCCAGGCUGGAAAAGUCUCUGCGGCAAAGCCACCCCAGCCAAGCCACCAUGAAAAUUUCACCCUGGCAAAGCCACCCUGGCAAUUCUGCCUUGGCACAUCCACCCCGGCAGAGCCAUCCUGGCAAAACCACGAUGGAAAAGCCAUCCUGGCAAAUCCACCCUGGCAGAGCCAACCUGGAAAAGCCACCCUGUCAUACCGAGCCCAGCCCUGCCACCCUGGCAAAACCAUGAUGGAAAAGACACCCCGGAAGAGCCAUCCCAGAAAAAACCACUGCGGCAAAGCCACCCUGGCAACUCCACUCUGGAAAAGCCACCCCAGCAAUGCCACCCCAGCAAAGCCACUGCAGCAAAGCCACGGUGACAAUUCUGCCCUGGCACAGCCACCCCGGCAGUGCCACCCUGGCAAUGCCACCCCAUCAAUGCCACCCCAUCAGUGCCACCCCAUCAAUGCCACCCCAUCAAUGCCACCCCAUCAGUGCCACCCUGUCCCUCCUGCCCUGGCACAUCCCCCCCUGUCAGAUCCCUCCUGGCACCCCCCGCCCGGCACAUCCGCCUGGAAUUUCCCUCCCGGGUCCCCAUCCCGGCUCUCACUGGGACACACGAGCGCUUCCUUGGCCGUGAUGCUCUUGUUGCAGGCGAAGCACAUGGUCAUGCCGGACACGGAGAUGGUGGUGAAGAGGUGCCCGUUGGUGUAACGCGCGUCCUUCUCCUUCCCCUCCUUCAUCCUCUCCUUGUCCUUGCCCUGCCCGGACAGCGACACCGG
RNAcentral lists this long non-coding RNA (1198 nucleotides) under Cyanistes caeruleus (blue tit). RNAcentral describes it as "lncRNA (ENSCCEG00000004168.1)". The record is from RNAcentral. Lineage: Eukaryota; Metazoa; Chordata; Aves; Passeriformes; Paridae.